UUUAGGGAGACCUAAUCCACUCAAAUAUCGAAAAACAAUCAGUUAAAUAGAUAUUAAGUUGGUCUAUCCUAGGUCGGUCGAGAUUGGUAAAAGCUUUCAAAGUAUUUUGAGUUCGGUUUAAAAAUCAUAAAAACUACUGGGAAUAGUGUUCAGCAACAUGGCAAUCGCCAGACUGCUGGAUAUUGUCCAGCCAGAACCUUGAAAACUGCAUAGUAACGCGAUUUAAAGCAGGCAGACACAGACAUUCAAGUAGUGAAUGUGUUUGCAGUGGUGAACACCAAAUGUAUUGU
RNAcentral lists this unclassified non-coding RNA (290 nucleotides) under Roholtiella edaphica JOH39. Its description in RNAcentral is "16S-23S ribosomal RNA intergenic spacer". The record is from RNAcentral. Lineage: Bacteria; Bacillati; Cyanobacteriota; Cyanophyceae; Nostocales; Fortieaceae.